UACGGGGGGGGUAAGCGUUGUUCGGAAUUACUGGGCGUAAAGGGUCUGUAGGUGGCUUGCUAAGUCAGACGUGAAAUCCCUCAGCUUAACUGGGGAACUGCGUCUGAGACUGGCGAGCUUGAGUGCAGGAGAGGAACGCGGAAUUCCAGGUGUAGCGGUGAAAUGCGUAGAUAUCGGGAGGAACACCAGUGGCGAAGGCGACUUCCUGGCCUGUUCUUGACGCUGAGGCGCGAAAGCUAGGGUAGCAAACGGG
Molecule: ribosomal RNA, 253 nt
Filed under: uncultured bacterium
Lineage: Bacteria
Description: partial 16S ribosomal RNA
Rfam family: Bacterial small subunit ribosomal RNA
Source: RNAcentral